AUUGAACGCUGGCGGAAUGCUUUACACAUGCAAGUCGAACGGCAGCACGGACUUCGGUCUGGUGGCGAGUGGCGAACGGGUGAGUAAUACAUCGGAACGUGCCCAGUCGUGGGGGAUAACGUAGCGAAAGCUACGCUAAUACCGCAUACGAUCUAAGGAUGAAAGCGGGGGAUCGCAAGACCUCGCGCGAUUGGAGCGGCCGAUGUCAGAUUAGGUAGUUGGUGGGGUAAAGGCUCACCAAGCCAACGAUCUGUAGCUGGUUUGAGAGGACGACCAGCCACACUGGGACUGAGACACGGCCCAGACUCCUACGGGAGGCAGCAGUGGGGAAUUUUGGACAAUGGGCGCAAGCCUGAUCCAGCCAUUCCACGUGCAGGACGAAGGCCUUCGGGUUGUAAACUGCUUUUGUACGGAACGAAAAUGCCCUUGUUAAUACCAGGGGUAAAUGACGGUACCGUAAGAAUAAGCACCGGCUAACUACGUGCCAGCCGCCGCCGUAA
Molecule: ribosomal RNA, 500 nt
Filed under: uncultured bacterium
Lineage: Bacteria
Description: partial 16S ribosomal RNA
Rfam family: Bacterial small subunit ribosomal RNA
Source: RNAcentral